This is a small nucleolar RNA of Ziziphus jujuba (common jujube), 106 nucleotides long. The record is from RefSeq and is a predicted model, not a curated record. Lineage: Eukaryota; Viridiplantae; Streptophyta; Magnoliopsida; Rosales; Rhamnaceae.
AAGGCAUGAUGUGAGCACCUCUUUAAUAGAUCAUUGUAUCUAUCCCAAGCUUCAUAUAAAGUUCACCUUUAAAUCGGGUAAAAGUGGUAAUACCACCCCUAAGCUU